This 638-nucleotide ribosomal RNA is filed under the name uncultured eukaryote. Its description in RNAcentral is "eukaryotic LSU rRNA". The stretch from base 245 to 398 matches the Rfam family "5.8S ribosomal RNA". The record is from RNAcentral.
CGAUUCUUGGUCAUUUAGAGGAAGUAAAAGUCGUAACAAGGUCUCCGUUGGUGAACCAGCGGAGGGAUCAUUACAGAGUGUAAAAACUCCCAAAACCCCUGCGAACAUACCAGUCGUUGCCUCGGCGGGACCGCCCCGGGCGCCAUCGCGUGCCCCGGAACCAGGCGCCCGCCGGGGGACUCAAACUCUUGUUUUCACCCCAGUGGCAUUAUCUGAGUGGGCUUUAAGCAAACAAAUGAAUCAAAACUUUCAACAACGGAUCUCUUGGUUCUGGCAUCGAUGAAGAACGCAGCGAAAUGCGAUAAGUAAUGUGAAUUGCAGAAUUCAGUGAAUCAUCGAAUCUUUGAACGCACAUUGCGCCCGCCAGUAUUCUGGCGGGCAUGCCUGUCUGAGCGUCAUUUCAACCCUCCCCGCGGCAUUCGUGUCGGGGGCUGGUUGGGGGGAUCGACAACCGCCCAACGGCGGACGUCGUCCCCUAAAGCCAGUGGCAGCCUCGCCGCGGCCUCCUCGCGCAGUAAUUACUUCUCGCGGGCGGAGCCACAGUGACGGAUCGCCGUAAAACCCCCAACUCUUCAAUGGUUGACCUCAGAUCANGUAGGAAUACCCGCUGAACUUAAGCAUAUCAAUAAGCGGAGGAA